Molecule: ribosomal RNA, 460 nt
Filed under: uncultured bacterium
Lineage: Bacteria
Description: partial 16S ribosomal RNA
Rfam family: Bacterial small subunit ribosomal RNA
Source: RNAcentral
CCUACGGGAGGCAGCAGUGAGGAAUAUUGGUCAAUGGACGAGAGUCUGAACCAGCCAAGUAGCGUGAAGGAUGACUGCCCUAUGGGUUGUAAACUUCUUUUAUAUGGGAAUAAAACGUUCCACGUGUGGGAUUUUGUAUGUACCAUAUGAAUAAGGAUCGGCUAACUCCGUGCCAGCAGCCGCGGUAAUACGGAGGAUCCGAGCGUUAUCCGGAUUUAUUGGGUUUAAAGGGAGCGUAGGUGGAUUGUUAAGUCAGUUGUGAAAGUUUGCGGCUCAACCGUAGAAUUGCAGUUGAAACUGGCAGUCUUGAGUACAGUAGAGGUGGGCGGAAUUCGUGGUGUAGCGGUGAAAUGCUUAGAUAUCACGAAGAACUCCGAUUGCGAAGGCAGUUCACUGGACUGCAACUGACACUGAGGCUCGAAAGUGUGGGUAUCAAACAGGAUUAGAUACCCGUGUAGUC